Molecule: ribosomal RNA, 636 nt
Filed under: uncultured Syndiniales
Lineage: Eukaryota; Dinophyceae; Syndiniales
Description: SSU rRNA
Rfam family: Eukaryotic small subunit ribosomal RNA
Source: RNAcentral
AGCUCGUAGUUGGAUUUCUGUUGAGGAAGGCCGGUCCGCACUAUGUGCGUGUAUCUGGUUCUGCCUUGGCAUCCUCUUGAGGAACGUAUCUACGCUUGAUUGCGUGGAGCGGUAUUCAAGACUUUUACUUUGAGGAAAUUAGAGUGUUCACGGCAGGCAAGCGCCUUGAAUACAUUAGCAUGGAAUAAUAAUAUAGGAUCUUGGUUCUAUUUUGUUGGUUUCUAGAGCUAGGAUAAUGAUUAAUAGGGAUAAUUGGGGGCAUUUGUAUUAACGCGUCAGAGGUGGAAUUCUUGGAUUGCGUUACGACAAACUACUGCGAAAGCAUUUGCCAAGGAUGUUUUCAUUGAUCAAGAACGAAAGUAUGGGGAUCGAAGAUGAUUAGAUACCGUCGUAGUUUAUACCAUAAACUAUGCCGACUAGGGAUUGGAGGUCGUUCUUUUUAUGACUCCUUCAGCACCUUAUGAGAAAUCAAAGUCUUUGGGUUCCGGGGGGAGUAUAGUCGCAAGGCUGAAACUUAAAGGAAUUGACGGAAGGGCACCACCAGGAGUGGAGCCUGCGGCUUAAUUUGACUCAACACGGGGAAACUCACCAGGUCCAGACAUAGUAAGGAUUGACAGAUUGAUAGCUCUUUCUUGA